RNAcentral lists this ribosomal RNA (500 nucleotides) under uncultured bacterium. RNAcentral's name for it is "partial 16S ribosomal RNA". It matches the Rfam family "Bacterial small subunit ribosomal RNA", at positions 30 to 523 of the family's 1533-position model. The record is from RNAcentral.
AUUGAACGCUGGCGGAAUGCUUUACACAUGCAAGUCGAACGGCAGCACGGACUUCGGUCUGGUGGCGAGUGGCGAACGGGUGAGUAAUGUAUCGGAACGUGCCCAGUCGUGGGGGAUAACGUAGUGAAAAUUACGCUAAUACCGCAUACGAUCUAUGGAUGAAAGCGGGGGACCGUAAGGCCUCGCGCGAUUGGAGCGGCCGAUAUCAGAUUAGGUAGUUGGUGGGGUAAAGGCUCACCAAGCCGACGAUCUGUAGCUGGUCUGAGAGGACGACAGGCCACACUGGAACUGAGACACGCUCCAGACGCCUACGGGAGGCAGCAGUGGGGAAUUUUGGACAAUGGGCGCAAGCCUGAUCCAGCCAUUCCGCGUGCAGGAUGAAGGCCCUCGGGUUGUAAACUGCUUUUGUACGGAACGAAAAGGCUCUGGUUAAUACCUGGGGCUCAUGACGGUACCGUAAGAAUAAGCACCGGCUAACUACGUGCCAGCCGCCGCAGUAA